GAUGAAGAACGUAGCAAAAUGCGAUACUUGGUGUGAAUUGCAGAAUCCCGUGAACCAUCGAGUUUUUGAACGCAAGUUGCGCCCGAAGCCUUUUGGCCGAGGGCACGUCUGCCUGGGCGUCACGCAUCGCGUCGCCCCCCACAAUUCUCCGUAAAGGGAACAUGUGUUUUGGGGGCGGAUAUUGGUCUCCCGUGCUCAUGGCGUGGUUGGCCGAAAUAGGAGUCCUUUCGAUGGACGCACGAACUAGUGGUGGUCGUAAAAACCCUCGUCUUUUGUUUCGUGCUGUUGCUCACAAGGUAAACUCUUUAAAAACCCCAAUGUGUCGUCUCUUGACGACGCUUCGACCGCGACCCCAGGUCAGGCGGGACUACCCGCUGAGUUUAAGCAUAUCAAUAAGCGGAGGA
Molecule: unclassified non-coding RNA, 404 nt
Filed under: soil metagenome
Description: partial contains 5.8S ribosomal RNA, internal transcribed spacer 2, and large subunit ribosomal RNA
Rfam family: 5.8S ribosomal RNA (bases 1-122)
Source: RNAcentral